Molecule: ribosomal RNA, 676 nt
Filed under: Salmonella enterica subsp. enterica serovar Newport
Lineage: Bacteria; Pseudomonadati; Pseudomonadota; Gammaproteobacteria; Enterobacterales; Enterobacteriaceae
Description: partial 23S ribosomal RNA
Rfam family: Bacterial large subunit ribosomal RNA
Source: RNAcentral
GUGGACGCCAGUCUGCGUGGAGCCGACCUUGAAAUACCACCCUUUAAUGUUUGAUGUUCUAACGUGGACCCGUAAUCCGGGUUGCGGACAGUGUCUGGUGGGUAGUUUGACUGGGGCGGUCUCCUCCUAAAGAGUAACGGAGGAGCACGAAGGUUGGCUAAUCCUGGUCGGACAUCAGGAGGUUAGUGCAAUGGCAUAAGCCAGCUUGACUGCGAGCGUGACGGCGCGAGCAGGUGCGAAAGCAGGUCAUAGUGAUCCGGUGGUUCUGAAUGGAAGGGCCAUCGCUCAACGGAUAAAAGGUACUCCGGGGAUAACAGGCUGAUACCGCCCAAGAGUUCAUAUCGACGGCGGUGUUUGGCACCUCGAUGUCGGCUCAUCACAUCCUGGGGCUGAAGUAGGUCCCAAGGGUAUGGCUGUUCGCCAUUUAAAGUGGUACGCGAGCUGGGUUUAGAACGUCGUGAGACAGUUCGGUCCCUAUCUGCCGUGGGCGCUGGAGAACUGAGGGGGGCUGCUCCUAGUACGAGAGGACCGGAGUGGACGCAUCACUGGUGUUCGGGUUGUCAUGCCAAUGGCACUGCCCGGUAGCUAAAUGCGGAAGAGAUAAGUGCUGAAAGCAUCUAAGCACGAAACUUGCCCCGAGAUGAGUUCUCCCUGAGACUUAGAGUCUCCUGAAGGA